This 110-nucleotide ribosomal RNA is filed under the name Heterocephalus glaber (naked mole-rat). Lineage: Eukaryota; Metazoa; Chordata; Mammalia; Rodentia; Bathyergidae. The record is from RNAcentral.
GUCCACAGCCAUGCCACCCUGAAUGUGCCCGAUCUCGUCUGAUCUCGGAAGCUAAGCAGGGUCGGGCCUGGUUAGGACUUGGAUGGGAAAAAAAUGUUUUGCAGUAAAUA